Molecule: ribosomal RNA, 486 nt
Filed under: uncultured bacterium
Lineage: Bacteria
Description: partial 16S ribosomal RNA
Rfam family: Bacterial small subunit ribosomal RNA
Source: RNAcentral
GAUGAACGCUGGCGGCGUGCUUAACACAUGCAAGUCGAACGGAAAGGCCUCAGCUUGCUGGGGUGCUCGAGUGGCGAACGGGUGAGUAACACGUGGGUGAUCUGCCCUGCACUUUGGGAUAAGCUUGGGAAACUGGGUCUAAUACCGAAUAUGACCACUUCUUGGAUGUUGUGGUGGAAAGCUUUUGCGGUGUGGGAUGAGCCUGCGGCCUAUCAGCUUGUUGGUGGGGUAAUGGCCUACCAAGGCGGCGACGGGUAUCCGGCCUGAGAGGGGGUACGGACACAUUGGGACUGAGAUACGGCCCAGACUCCUACGGGAGGCAGCAGUGGGGAAUAUUGCACAAUGGGCGCAAGCCUGAUGCAGCGACGCCGCGUGGGGGAUGAAGGCCUUCGGGUUGUAAACUCCUUUCGCUAUCGACGAAGCCACUUGUGGUGACGGUAGGUAGAUAAGAAGCACCGGCUAACUACGUGCCAGCAGCCGCAGUAA